UGGGAUGUGGCUCAGUGGUAGAGCGCUUGUCUAGUAUGCAUGAAAUCCUAGGUUCAUUCUCCAGUACCACAG
This 72-nucleotide transfer RNA is filed under the name Neotoma lepida (desert woodrat). It matches the Rfam family "tRNA". Rfam says of the family: Transfer RNA (tRNA) molecules are approximately 80 nucleotides in length. Their secondary structure includes four short double-helical elements and three loops (D, anti-codon, and T loops). Further hydrogen bonds mediate the characteristic L-shaped molecular structure. tRNAs have two regions of fundamental functional importance: the anti-codon, which is responsible for specific mRNA codon recognition, and the 3' end, to which the tRNAs corresponding amino acid is attached (by aminoacyl-tRNA synthetases). tRNAs cope with the degeneracy of the genetic code in two manners: having more than one tRNA (with a specific anti-codon) for a particular amino acid; and 'wobble' base-pairing, i.e. permitting non-standard base-pairing at the 3rd anti-codon position. The record is from Rfam by way of RNAcentral. Lineage: Eukaryota; Metazoa; Chordata; Mammalia; Rodentia; Cricetidae.